This 88-nucleotide transfer RNA is filed under the name Pseudomonadales bacterium. RNAcentral's name for it is "tRNA-Ser". It matches the Rfam family "tRNA". Rfam says of the family: Transfer RNA (tRNA) molecules are approximately 80 nucleotides in length. RNAcentral also lists the same sequence under 1 other name. The record is from RNAcentral. Lineage: Bacteria; Pseudomonadati; Pseudomonadota; Gammaproteobacteria; Pseudomonadales.
GGAGGGGUGGCAGAGCGGUUGAAUGCACCGGUCUUGAAAACCGGCAUGUCGAGAGGCAUCCAGGGUUCAAAUCCCUGCCCCUCCGCCA